UACCGCGGCGGCAUUUCGAGACUGCCGAGACGGCCAGUUUCCUCGGAAGACUUUUCAAAACAAUAUUUAAGAGUAAAUUAAAUGAAAUUGUUGAAUCAGUCUUUCCAAAAAGUGAGUGACGAGGGGGGUAGCGGAAGGGACGUUCCGCUCGGGCGCUCACUUGGCGGAUAUGCAUGCAUCCGGCGUGCGCGCCGCAGUGCCGGCCUCCCCUACGCUCGCCGCAGACACAACAAUGCCUCCUGAAAUCCGAAGCUGGCGGGCGCUGCGCUCCGGCCAGUCCAGUCCAGCCAUUCACAAAUUGCGAAGCCUUGACCCACUAAUUGUUUGCCCUCCGCAAACGUGGCGAUCGUUUCCCAGCCACGAGCAAGCGCCGGAAGUGGCCACAGGCCUAUCGUCGGGACAACACAUUCGUUAUUAUGUCAACUCGCCGGUAUAUAUAGCAAAAAAUGUUCCUUUUAGUAUCUGACCGAGAUUGUAAUCCUGGAUUCAAAAACGAACCUUCGGCUCUAAUCUUAAAUAAUAUUUUACAAAGCAAUUUUUGUAUCGAUGAUUUAUAUCGUGAUUCCUUAGCAGACAGACGAACAUACUAGUACGGUAUAUUCAAGGACAGAACAUUUCCAAGAAUUUAUCUAAUCUACGACACUUCCUUUCCGCUCAAAUACCUUCGGGUACCUUCAAACUUUCAUCACGGCGGAAAUAUAAAUUUCACAAGGCAUUAUUUCUGCAAGUAACAAUUAACCGUAUAACAUGUAUUUAUCUCUUCGCCCUUCAACCGUCAUUACGUUAUCACAUCAUUUCACUGUCAUAUAACUGGAAAGAAAAGCUGAAGCUCGAAUGAGUUUUUAACGUGAAGAGAAAUGGAAAAACAAAGGAAACGUUUACAAAACUCGAGAUCUUCUGCUGCGGGAAACAUUACAUUCGCGGAAAAUGCAUGCCAAAUUUUUUGCAAAAUAGAAAAUUAUCCUGAAUUUCUAAAUGGUUCUGGUGAAUGGGUGGGGAUUUUUUUGUAAACUUACUUGAGGGUCCUCUCCAUCGUGGAAGUGCGAAAUAUCUCUUCUUGGUCGAGUGACAACACGCAGUAAAUAUCGCGGUGGCACGCGGCGCCAUGGCUGCGACCCGGGAGGUUCUUAGCUUCUCCUGCAAAAAAAAACUUUUAUUCAAUUGCGAGUAGUUAGAGGGUGCGUUCGGACAUUUAAUCCAUGCCGAUUGAGAGAUCUAUGAUGGCGCUUUUUUAUCGACAAACUCAGAUAAAAAUUACUAUAAUGUAAAUACCUAUAUUAGUAUCGAUAUAGUGUUAGGUACUUUUAUUUAUUACAUAGUUUUUGUUUUGUGGGAUAAUAGCAUUCAAAGGGGUUUGAAGAUUUUACUAUGGAGCGUGGCAUACCUACUGCCGCCAUUUUGAUUUUUUUUCAAAAUCGCGGCCAGCCAUGAAACUUUUAUAAAUCGAUAGCUGACAUUAAUGCCAACAAAAAAUAUUAAUUCAAUGACCUUCAUAAAGUGUCAGGUUUCCGAGAAAAUAACCGUCAAAGUUGAUCACGUGAUAUUUUUUAAUAGCGACUAUAAUCCCAUCUAUUUGGUAUAACAAUGUGUAAACAUACACAAAAUAUUCUAAUAGGUAUAGAUAAUAUUAAUAAUAAAACAUAGAUAACUAUGCCUCAUGAUAUUUCUACAUGUUGCGGCUACUAUGUACUUAAUAAGAAUAUUUCAUACUACGACAAAAAAGUCAAUGGUGACGUACUGUUCAUUAGGUAUUGUUUUAGGUGUUAUAUAUAACAAGAAAAUAGAUUAUAUAUUGUAUUAUUCUAAUGUGCAAGCGAGACGGAAGGGGGGGGGGGGGGCACCUUUAUACCCCCGACCGCUGCACUCAGUUUGCUACCUGUGUUCUUUCUAUGCGGGAGUAAACGCCUCUCUGUGCGAGUUAUUCGUUAUUUAGUAUUUGUAUUGAUGUUAUGAAUGUGAUUUUUGUGUUUGUAGUCUCAAAAGUGUUUAAAUUGUGUAUACUAAAAGCAUGAUGCCUUAAAAUGUUUAUCGGGCAAUAAAAAUACUGUUCCUAAA
Molecule: long non-coding RNA, 2055 nt
Organism: Plodia interpunctella (Indianmeal moth)
Lineage: Eukaryota; Metazoa; Arthropoda; Insecta; Lepidoptera; Pyralidae
Exons: 2
Source: RefSeq, a predicted model, not a curated record